UACAGAGGUCUCAAGCGUUGUUCGGAUUCAUUGGGCGUAAAGGGUGCGUAGGCGGCGCGGUAAGUCGGGUGUGAAAUCUCGGAGCUUAACUCCGAAACUGCAUUCGAUACUGCCGUGCUUGAGGACUGGAGAGGAGACUGGAAUUUACGGUGUAGCGGUGAAAUGCGUAGAUAUCGUAAGGAAGACCAGUGGCGAAGGCGGCUCUCUGGGCCUUACCUGACGCUGAGGAGCGAAAGCGUGGGUAGCGAACAGG
RNAcentral lists this ribosomal RNA (253 nucleotides) under uncultured bacterium. Its description in RNAcentral is "partial 16S ribosomal RNA". It matches the Rfam family "Bacterial small subunit ribosomal RNA", at positions 524 to 776 of the family's 1533-position model. The record is from RNAcentral.